UGAUAUGAAGUUGCAAAAUGAUUUUCCUGGCAAAUCACUGCCACGGAGUCAAAAUCAAUUACCAUCCAAAAAAUCUGAAAAGAUUCCAGCCAUAACAGGUGAACCUGUAGUUGGAAUUGGGCCUGUCAUUGACUAUAAAGUUGGAAUUCAAUUAGAAAAACCAAUCCCCCAGAACGAGUGUUCCAAGGAUAUGAAGUUGCAAAAUGAUUUUCCUGGCAAAUCACUGCCACGGAGUCAAAAUCAAUUACCAUCCAAAAAAUCUGAAAAGAUUCCAGCCAUAACAGGUGAACCUGUAGUUGGAAUUGGGCCUGUCAUUGACUAUAAAGUUGGAAUUCAAUUAGAAAACCAAUCCCCAGAAGGAGUGUUCCAAGGAUAUGAAGUUGCAAAAUGAUUUUCCUGGCAAAUCACUGCCACGGAGUCAAAAUCAAUUACCAUCCAAAAAAUCUGAAAAGAUUCCAACCCUAAUAGGUGAACCUGUAGUUGGAAUCGGGUCUGUCAUUGACUAUAAAGUCGGAGUUCAGUUAAUAAAACCAGUCCCCCAGAAGAUGUAUUCCAAGGAUAUGAAGUUGCAAAAUGAUUAUCCUGGCAAAUCAGUGAGUCAAAAUCAAUUAGCAUCCACAAGAUUUGGAAAGAUUCCAUCCAAAGGUGGUGAAGCUGUAGUUGGAAUUGAGCCUAUCAUUGACUAUAAGAUUGGAGUUCAAUUAGAAAAACCUGUCCCCCAGAAGGAGUGUUCCAAGGAUAUGAAUUUGCAAAGUGAUUCUCCUGGCAAAUCACUGCCACUGAGUCAAAAUCAGUCACCAUCUCCAAAAUCUGGAAAUAUGCCAUCCCAAGAAGAUGAAGUAGCUGCAGCUGGAAGUGAGCCUGUCAUUGACUCUAAGGAGGGAGAUCAUUUAGAAAAACCAAUCUCCCAGAAGCAGUGUGAACCAUUUCUAGACAAAGAGAAACAGAAAGAAGUAAAGAAAGACUUGAAACAAGAAUUGAAAUUGAGAGGACCAUCAGAAUUACCAGAAGCAUCAUCUUCUUUGGCAAGUCACUUAAGUGAUUCUGUGGAAAAAGAAAAAGAUAAUUUUCUCAAUGUAGGAGAUCUUAAGUCAUUUCCUGGAAAAAGGGAAGAUAGUCUGGAAAAUAUCUUUUUACAGAAUUUAAAGAUCAACUUCCCAAAAAAUGUUUUACAAUUCUCUUCCCAUAUGUGCUCAAAAAAGAGCACCCCACAGUCUAAGAAUAAGCCAAAAACUGAACAUACUUGCAGUAUAAAUGAAGAGAAAAUUGCUUAUGUUGCAAAAAAUAUAAAAAAAAAUAACUCAAAAUCAGGCAUAAAUGAAAGAAACGAAGAUAGCUCAUUUGGUAUUGAAAUGACAUUUAGUCAGCACAAAAAUAUCACAAGUUUAGAAUCGGAUUCAGAUUUGCUCCAAUCAAGUGAUCCAGGAAGUUAUUUUGGUGUCGCAUCAAACAACCAAGAAAAAAUGCCUGAACUAAUUACUUCGAGAAAACAUAAGGAGAAAACAAAGCAUAUAGAAACCUCAUUCCAGAACAGUCAUCACAAUGCUACUAACUCACCAAAUGAGUUGGAAGAGAAAAGGCAAAAGCAUCAACAGAAUAAAACGGAAACACUGGAGAGACAAGAUGGUGAGAAAACUGAAAACAGAAGAGCUGUCAAAGCUAAUGAGCAAUUUUCAGUGGAGCAUGGUAAAGAUGAGGAAAAUAAAAUUCCUGGGGAAGAAAUACCAUUAAUGAGUAUUUCUUCCGAGGAAAAAUUAUCACCUAUGCACCAUAUUUUAAAUGGCAAUUGGAGAGAGAAAUUAAUGCAAAAGCACCGGAGAAAUUCCUAUUCUUUGGAAAAGUUUGAAGAAAAGGAAAUCAAAAUAGGGGAAAAUUUUAAAAAGCCUGAAGAUGAGAAAUGGAUUUCCGAGGAUUCUAGUAGUACAACUUGUGAAAAAGUGAAUUCUUCUAGCAGCCUACUCGAUAGUUGUGAUGACAGCACCUUAAAUGAGACAGAUUCUGAUGAAUUAAGGUAAUCUAAUACUGGACUAGAUCACAGAAAAACAUGAGCAAUGU
Long non-coding RNA from Sarcophilus harrisii (Tasmanian devil), 2055 nucleotides. The record is from Ensembl. NCBI's taxonomy places the organism in Eukaryota, Metazoa, Chordata, Mammalia, Dasyuromorphia, Dasyuridae.